This 258-nucleotide ribosomal RNA is filed under the name uncultured bacterium. Its description in RNAcentral is "partial 16S ribosomal RNA". It matches the Rfam family "Bacterial small subunit ribosomal RNA", at positions 793 to 1055 of the family's 1533-position model. The record is from RNAcentral.
GUCCACACCGUAAACGAUGUGCACUAGGUGUCGGGCCGUAGGGUUCGGUACCGUAGCUAACGCGUUAAGUGCACCGCCUGGGGAGUAUGCUCGCAAGGGUGAAACUCAAAGGAAUUGACGGGGCCCGCACAAGCGGAGGAGCAUGUGGUUUAAUUCGAUGGUACGCGAGAAACCUUACCAGGGUUUGACAUAUACAGGAAUGCAUCAGAGACGGUGCCGCCUUUCGGGGCCUGUAUACAGGUGCUGCAUGGCUGUCGU